GUGGUAAUUCAGUGAUAGAAUUCUUACCUUCCAUGUAAGAGACCCAGGUUUUAUUCUUGGACAUUACA
RNAcentral lists this transfer RNA (68 nucleotides) under Loxodonta africana (African savanna elephant). It matches the Rfam family "tRNA". Rfam says of the family: Transfer RNA (tRNA) molecules are approximately 80 nucleotides in length. Their secondary structure includes four short double-helical elements and three loops (D, anti-codon, and T loops). Further hydrogen bonds mediate the characteristic L-shaped molecular structure. tRNAs have two regions of fundamental functional importance: the anti-codon, which is responsible for specific mRNA codon recognition, and the 3' end, to which the tRNAs corresponding amino acid is attached (by aminoacyl-tRNA synthetases). tRNAs cope with the degeneracy of the genetic code in two manners: having more than one tRNA (with a specific anti-codon) for a particular amino acid; and 'wobble' base-pairing, i.e. permitting non-standard base-pairing at the 3rd anti-codon position. Lineage: Eukaryota; Metazoa; Chordata; Mammalia; Proboscidea; Elephantidae. The record is from Rfam by way of RNAcentral.